ACUUGAGCAUCGCUGCUGUCACAUUUUCACCAGAGCAAUCUUACGAGGAUUUGGGAUAUUAUGUACAAAUAAUUGAAGAUAUGAAGACGGCAGUGGUCUCUUUAUUUAUCAGUCUUUUUAUUCUGGUGGCAGUUGUUGAAUGGAAAUCAAAACAGAAACCGCAACAAAGUAAAGAUCCCUUAACUUCAUCAAAUAAUAUAUUGAUAAAAGGUGAUGACUAUACCCCCUCAUUACCUAAAAUGUUAUGGGAGAAGAGUAAGGAUACUGGUCAGAAAAGCAGAAAACAUCGAGAAAUUGUUUCAGAGUGGGAUAAUGGGAAUCGCUUACAGACAGAAGAGAUAAUGCAUGAAAACAUAGAGACAAACCUAUAUAACAAAGCACACAAAAUAAAA
Spea bombifrons (plains spadefoot toad) is the source of this 392-nucleotide long non-coding RNA. RefSeq lists it as uncharacterized. The record is from RefSeq and is a predicted model, not a curated record. The transcript has 2 exons. Lineage: Eukaryota; Metazoa; Chordata; Amphibia; Anura; Pelobatidae.